This 254-nucleotide ribosomal RNA is filed under the name uncultured bacterium. Its description in RNAcentral is "partial 16S ribosomal RNA". It matches the Rfam family "Bacterial small subunit ribosomal RNA", at positions 524 to 776 of the family's 1533-position model. The record is from RNAcentral.
CACGUAGGGUGCAAGCGUUAAUCGGAAUUACUGGGCGUAAAGCGUGCGCAGGCGGUCUGUUAAGACCGAUGUGAAAUCCCCGGGCUUAACCUGGGAACUGCAUUGGUGACUGGCAGGCUUUGAGUGUGGCAGAGGGAGGUAGAAUUCCACGUGUAGCAGUGAAAUGCGUAGAGAUGUGGAGGAAUACCGAUGGCGAAGGCAGCCUCCUGGGCCAACACCGACGCUCAUGCACGAAAGCGUGGGGAGCAAACAGG